Molecule: long non-coding RNA, 520 nt
Organism: Cyprinus carpio (common carp)
Lineage: Eukaryota; Metazoa; Chordata; Actinopteri; Cypriniformes; Cyprinidae
Exons: 3
Source: RefSeq, a predicted model, not a curated record
GCCAAGCGACCUCUUGUGGUCAUAUGAGGUUUAGCAAGAAAUUAGAAAGUGACCUCAUCAGUAUUAGCCUAUACAAUUAGUGAUGUCAUCAAAAAGAGACUGAAUCAGAGGCAGAGAUCUUUCAUGUUAUGGGCAUUCAUUAAUCCAAAAGACAUCCUCCGUUCAAAGUUAUUAAUAAGGCAUUCCCUUUUCACACCAUUUAUGUGAUAAAGCUACACUCUCAACAUCACCUUGUGGUUCCGGGAGUUAUUGCAUGAAGGUGUUGAACUUGCUGGACAAUUGAAUGUGGGUUCAACGAGGCCAGUACAAUACUAAUAAAGUAAACUAUCUACAAAAAAUCAGAUGAGCCCUGAAUAUGAAUGCAACUCAUUUGAGGUUUGGGUGAAUAACCAAACUCUCAAUGAAACUGGAGUACAGUUUUGGCAUGGGAGAGAUUCUGAGAUAAGUGAACCUGAUAACUGGAAACAAGUGGAUCCCACUGGAGAAAACUGUGCACUUGUGAACAGUAAUUUCAACAAUU